AUUGAACGCUAGCGGCAGGCCUUACACAUGCAAGUCGAGCGGAGCGGCGGAGGGGUGAGGAAUAGCAAGGAAUCUGCAUGUUAGCGGGGGAGAACGUUCAGAAACCGGCACUAAUACCGCAUACUAUCAGAUUAGCCUAGGUCGGAUUAGCAAGUUGGUGGGGUAAAGGCCUACCAAGGCAACGACCCGUAGCUGGUCUGAGAGGAUGAUCAGUCACACUGGCACUGAGACACGGUCCAGACUCCUACGGGAGGCAGCAGUGGGGAAUAUUGGACAAUGGGCGAAAGCCUGAUCCAUCCAUGCCGCGUGUGUGAAGAAGGUCUUCGGAUUGUAAAGCACUUUAAGUUGGGAGGCGUUACCUACAGAAUAAGCACCGGCUAACUUCGUGCCAGCAGCCGCGGUAAUUC
This 407-nucleotide ribosomal RNA is filed under the name uncultured bacterium. RNAcentral's name for it is "partial 16S ribosomal RNA". It matches the Rfam family "Bacterial small subunit ribosomal RNA", at positions 30 to 526 of the family's 1533-position model. The record is from RNAcentral.